AUUGAACGCUGGCGGCAGGCCUAACACAUGCGAGUCGAGCGGAUGAAGGGAGCUUGCUCCUGGAUUCAGCGGCGGACGGGUGAGUAAUGCCUAGGAAUCUGCCUGGUCGUGGGGGAUAACGUCCGGAAACGGGCGCUAAUACCGCAUACGUCCUGAGGGAGAAAGUGGGGGAUCUUCGGACCUCACGCUAUCAGAGGAGCCUAGGUCGGAUUAGCUAGUUGGUGGGGUAAAGGCCUACCAAGGCGACGAGCCGUAACUGGUCUGAGAGGAUGAUCAGUCACCCUGGAAGUGAGACAGGGUCCAGACUACUACGGGAGGCAGCAGUGGGGAAUAUUGGACAAUGGGCGAAAGCAUGAUCCAGCCAUGCCGAGUGUGUGAAGAAGGUCUUCGGAUUGUAAAGCACUUUAAGUUGGGAGGAAGGGCAGUAAGUUAAUACCUUGCUGUUUUGACGUUACCAACAGAAUAAGCACCGGCUAACUUCGUG
RNAcentral lists this ribosomal RNA (484 nucleotides) under uncultured bacterium. Its description in RNAcentral is "partial 16S ribosomal RNA". It matches the Rfam family "Bacterial small subunit ribosomal RNA", at positions 30 to 507 of the family's 1533-position model. The record is from RNAcentral.